UACGUAGGGGGCAAGCGUUGUCCGGAAUCAUUGGGCGUAAAGCGCGUGUAGGCGGCUCGGUAAGUCCGCUCUGAAAGUCCAGGGCUCAACCCUGGGAUGCGGGUGGAUACUGUCGGGCUCGAGUCCGGAAGAGGCGAGUGGAAUUCCUGGCGUAGCGGUGAAAUGCGCAGAUAUCAGGAGGAACACCAAUGGCGAAGGCAGCUCGCUGGGACGUGACUGACGCUGAGACGCGAAAGCGUGGGGAGCAAACAGG
RNAcentral lists this ribosomal RNA (253 nucleotides) under uncultured bacterium. RNAcentral describes it as "partial 16S ribosomal RNA". It matches the Rfam family "Bacterial small subunit ribosomal RNA", at positions 524 to 776 of the family's 1533-position model. The record is from RNAcentral.